UUUACUACAAUAGUUUUAUAAAAAUAUUUUAAAUGAAUAAUCUCUUUCUAAAUGUGUUAUAUUUGAUUCAUACAUAUUUUUGUACGUGUAAUGAUGAUUGUGUUCUUCUAAAAAUAUUAAUAAAAGAAAUGGAUACUUGCCAAUUGCUAUCAUCGAAAUUAAGUGGAUAUCCGAAUAUAUAUCAAAUUCCAAGCUAUCCGUUUUGCAUUCGCAUUCAACAACAUUCAAAUCCGAAUUCAUAUUCGAAUAAAAAUGUGGUAAAAAGUGCUAUCCGAAUUCGAUUCCAUCUAAAUCCUAUUGAUUUCCAUCCCUAGCCACACUAAUAUGCUCGAAGUAGCUAGCCAAUGUAGUGAGCCAUCUCCAACAAAUUUCGAUUAAUUUCAUUGGAAUUUUAAAGUGUGAACGCGAGGUUUUGAUUCUAGGUCCAGUUCUUAACGUGGGCUCACAUGUGAAUCUAGCCACACUAAUAUAAAUGGAGUAGCAGUUUAUCAUACUGAGCUAUCUCUAAUAAAUUUCAACUAAUUUUACUGAAAUUGUAAGGUAUGAAUGUGAGAUUUAAAUUUUAAGAUCCGAC
This 574-nucleotide long non-coding RNA is filed under the name Setaria viridis. RNAcentral describes it as "long non-coding RNA (SVIR_LNC005888)". The record is from RNAcentral. Lineage: Eukaryota; Viridiplantae; Streptophyta; Magnoliopsida; Poales; Poaceae.